RNAcentral lists this long non-coding RNA (7530 nucleotides) under Theobroma cacao (cacao). Its description in RNAcentral is "long non-coding RNA (TCAC_LNC000674)". The record is from RNAcentral. Lineage: Eukaryota; Viridiplantae; Streptophyta; Magnoliopsida; Malvales; Malvaceae.
AAGGUUUGCAAUAGAACUGUCAAUGCUAUUCUUCUGCAUACUCUGCUACACACUGCUCCUGGUCUCCUUUUCUGAUUCAGCAGUCUUAUAUCUUGAUAACUCAUGCUUCUUGUUGUUUGGACUGAAUGAAAUCAGUAUUCCUAGUUCAAUAUUAUUUUACAAUGGGGUACAAUCUCAAUGAGAGACCUCGCAAGCAGGAUGUUAUUGUGUAAGUUAUUGCAGGUUCUUUGAAGCAUAUUGGCUCCAAAUUUUGUUUUGAGCACUGUUCAAAAGGGGAGUUCUCUCUCUCUCUCCGUAAUGUUUAAUGAGGAUAUUUUUAUCUUCCAGGUCUUUCAAUUAGGUGCCAAUUUUGUUUUUCUUAUUACGCGUUGACACUCUAUGCUUCCAUGGCUUGCCUUUGGUUAGUAGAGAUUAAUAGUCCAUAGAAUAAAGAAAUUAUGGCUCUUCAUCUGCAUAUUUCUGAUCUUAUGCCAUCUUCCAUAGUGAAAACUUAUUUGUUUAAAUUUGUUAUUGGGUUUAAUUUAUCUGUCAAUCAUCCUUAAAAGUGAACCAUUUGCAUAAUUUGUGAUACCUUCUGAGGUCUCUUAUCUAAUCAUUUCUGUUUCAGUUUGAAAUCACAGAGCAGCAGCUAAGGUUUGCACAUAACAGUCCAACAAGUUCAUAUGCACAUAAAGAGAUUUGAGUUCUGACUUUCAUAUGGUGUUCUUAGCUUAUUAGUUAAGACACCUUGAUGAAGGUUAAAAUUUUUUUUCCCAAUAUCAAUGUUGUCAUUAAUUACCUAAAAACUGCAGGAUAUUAUAAGCAUUUACAAAAGGAGAGGUGGAAGUGAUAAUAGAAACCUAUCUCAUAAUGACUGGUUACAAACAGUUCAGUCAGAGCCUGAUGUGAUCUCAAUGUCCUUUAUCCCAAUUGCUUCUCUAUUGAAUGGAGUCCCGGGUAGUGGAUUUCUGAGCCAUGUCAUAAAUCUGUAUUUGCGAUGUAAGCAAGACCUAUUUUUUUGUGUACCUAAGCAUUUGGUUUUCUGCUACUAAUUAGAUCAAACUAUUGUAUCUUAUUUUUUAAAACAUAGAAUUCAUUUAUUAUUUUCUGGAAGAAGUAUGCCUCUGAUUUUUGUUUUUGGAAUUUAUUUUAAAUUUUAAAUGUAAAAUACCAUAAAUUCGCUAACCAUCUUAUUGUUAUGAAAUCCUAAGGUAAUCAAACACAAGAGUUAUGAGCUUAUUUUGGUUGAAACUUUUGUUAAAUAACCAUUAGUUGUCAGUAAGGACCACAGUGCAUCAACUUAAUCCUCAACUAGAUGUGUCAUGAAGCAAUGAGAACAAAUUUUUGGCCUGCGAUGGCUCUUCUGAUUGACUUCUUUUUCCUUCAUUUGCUUACUGCUGCAAAUAAUACUUCUUUGUUAUUAUAGCAAACAGUCUACACAUGUUUCAUCCAUAAGCUAUUGCUCUUACAGAUAAACCACCAAUUGAAGAACUCCACCAGUUUUUGGAGUUUCAGCUUCCAAGGCAGUGGGCACCAGUUUUUAGUGAACUUCCUCUUGGUCCACAACGAAAGCAACAAAGCACUGCAUCUUUGCAAUUCAGCUUCAUGGGGCCUAAGCUUUUUGUGAACACUACAACGGUAAAGGAUUUUCUCACAUUGAAAUUUUUCUGACUUUUUUUGUUGUAUGCACAGAGUGUUUUACCAUGUAGGUUUCAUCCAUGUAUGUGAGUAGUUCUUAUUGCCCUUUGGCUAGAUAAACUUCAUAACAUGUUGGUGUACUGGUGUUCGAUUUAUAGAUGAUCGUAGAACCUCUAAAGCAUUUUAAAUUAAAAAAUUUUAUGCCAUGAUGAUUGCAUGUCACAAAGGAAAUAGCAUUUUGUAAUUAGAUAAGAUUUAAUUAUCUGUAGUUAUAUCAAAGAAAAUGCUGCUAGGGAACUCACAUCCGUGGUAAUUUAUCUAAGACUUCAUCUUCUUUAGGUCUCCCAAAGAGAGAACAGUGCAACUUUGUGACAUAGUGUGGAUAUAAAGUUGCAAACUGAUGUUAACUCUCGCAUCAUUGAAGUGGCAGCCUUUUUGGUGGAGUCUUAUACUUUGUUCAUAUCAAAGAAAGGAGCUAUAGCUAAUUUCUAGUUAUAUAACUUCAUGACAGGUUGAUGCGGGUAAAAGGCCAGUGACUGGCCUCCGACUUUAUCUACAAGGGAAUAGGAAAAACCGCUUAUCCAUCCACUUGCAGCACCUUUCCUCCCUCCCAAAAAUCUUCCAACUUGCAGAUGAUCCAAAUGGGAACUUCUGCCAAAAGUCUCAUGAUCAUAAAUACUACGAGAGAGUUUAUUGGAAGAACUACUCUCACGUAUGUGUUGCUCCUGUUGAGUCUGUGGGGGAUCUUUCCAUAGUAACUGGAGCCCAAUUGCAGGUUGAGAAUCAUGGUUCUAAAGAUAUUCUCUUCUUACGGCUACGCUUCUCAACUGUCUUGGGAGCUAUGGUUGCUAAGCAUCCAGAAUGGGAUGGAUCACCUGGGUUGGCACCCAAGGCAGGACUCUUAUCCAUAUUAAGCAGUUCUCUCGUCUCAGACAUAUCAUUUAAGGAGCCACCUCCAAGGCUAGCUGAUGUAAGUAUAAACUCUGCUAUUUAUCCUGGAGGCCCACCUGAGCCUGUACAAGGCCCCAAGCUUUUGAAAUUUGUUGAUACAACAGAGAUGACAAGAGGGCCGGAAGAAAUUCCUGGAUAUUGGGUCGUUUCUGGGGCAAGGUUAGUUGUUGAGCAGGGAAAGAUCUCUCUCCAGGUUAAGUAUUCUUUAUUGACUGUAAUAAUGCCUGAUGAAGAAGCAAUAGAGGAGCACUAGCCGAUUUCUGUCACCACAUAUUUAGCUUUCCUGUUUCUCUUUGCCCAGCAUGGAAACAAAUAUAAGUAGGAAACAGUUGCUGAAGAUCAGAGAAUCCAACAAAAGAGAGAGAAAGGAGUAGGAAUGGUUUACACUGAGGGGAUAGGUUUGGGUGUGUUGGUGGUGGCUGGCUGGCUGGCUGUUUCAUUGUAUUCAUUACACAUUUUUUCUUGCAAUAUAAUUUCUUUUUUCUUUGUUUCUAAUAUGCAAUGAGCUUUUUGGUUAUAAGGUAUCCCCUGCUCUGUUUGAUGCUCUAUUUGCAAGGGCUUGUUUUCUUUGUAUGUAAUAUGCUUUUCAUAUGAUAGCUGUAUACACAACAAAUAGCUGUAUGCUUUACAUUGAUUAACUCAGCUCUUCAAAACAUAAUCAGGUUACAUCAACAUAUCCCAUUCUUUCAGUUGAAAUUUUUGUUCUUCUUUCUGGGUCAUGCACCUAUUUUUCAUUAUUUAAAAAAAAAAAAAGAACUAUGAACUCUGUAGUUCAAAGUUCAUGCAAUUCAAUAUGGAAUUAUGGGCUUGAUUACUAUUAUUUACACUGAAAAACCACUAUAAAUGGAGGAGAAUUGAUGAAUUUUUGUAGCUAUAAGACAAAGCUUGAGAAAUUAUGGGCUUGUGGGUCUCUCUUUCCAUCAUAAAAUUCCUCCAAGCCUAUUUGUGCAAUUAAUUUCUUGCCUAAUCAAGAGGCCAAACAUUCCAUUUAAGACCACAGAUUUGUAGUAAUUGAAACCACUACAACUUUUAUUUUUAGUUUAAGAAUUAAAACUAAUCAUUCCUCUAACGAUUUUGAUUGUCAUAAUAUUACAUAAUUACAACAAUAACCCAUCAUUAAUCAAAUACUAAUUUGCAAUUUAUUUUUAAGCCAAUUAUGAACUUCCUUUCGGUUUAUAAAAAUGGAAACGUUGACCACAAUCAAGUUGAAACAUGCCACUAUAAUUUACUUCAUAGCUUUAAAUAGAAGUAGUACUAUUUGCUGUCAUGAUGCGUUAUACUUGUGGUUAUUUAAAGUAUGUGUUAUGCUUGAUAAAUUAUUAUUAAAAUAAUUAGAUAUUUAAAUAUUAAUAAAUAAAUAAAUAUAAAAUUAAAUAUAUUCAAUUAAAUAGAUUAAAAUUUUAAAUACGUACAUGAUUACGAUUAUUACACAUUUUACACAUAUAAACAUGAUUAUGUCAUUUUAAUUUAAACCUGUCAUACGAAAGUUAAACAAUUAUGAUAUUUCUUAAGAUUUGAUAAUUUCGUAUCUUAAAUAUGUUGACGGUUUAAAACAUUAUGGAUGAUUUUAAAUUUAAAUUUAAAUCUUUAAUUAUGGUAAGAUAAUUAAAAUUAAGAAACUUGAUAGAGCAAAGAUUGGCGGUGGAGAAAAGUAGAGCAGCAGGCAGUGAAGUUAGAAGAACCUCAACGUUGAAAGCUCCACUUUGACUCUCUGUUCCUCUAUACCCCCAUAGAACUCCCAGUUAAGAGUACGAGUGUCACAUGUCAAUAGAAUCUUUCAUUUCAGUCAAACCCAUUUUUACUACUUUGUCUCUCUCAACGCUACCCUUUCUUAGGGUUUCUCUUUCUCUCUCUCUCUCUCUCUCUUUCUCUCUUAAUUAUUUUAAUUUUUUUUCACCGCUCUCUAAGUUUCUCCAUCAAAGACCCAAUCUUUCGUUUUUUUUAAAGUUUGGGUUUUGUUCUUGGAAUUUUCCCAACGUGGAAAUCUCGCUGUUUGGGGGGGGGGGGGGGGGGCGGGGGGGGAAAGCCUCGAAAUCGAACAAAGGGAUUGACAUUCUGGGGCUUCAAAUUGCGUGAGCUUCGCUUCGAUUGGUUUUUUUGAGCAUAAAAUCUGCUCAAAAAACCCCCACCAAAGAUUUCCACUUUAGUUCUUGGACUGCGUAAAAUGUACGACUAUUUUUUUCUUUGACUAGUCUAAGCUAACUUUCUUUGCUUUUUAGCCUGUUUGCAGUUUUUGGAUCUAGGUUUUUUUUCAUGAAUUUAGGGAUAUUUUGGUGAAUUUGAACUAUAUUUGGGUUUUGAAUGUUAAUUUGUGAAAAUUGUUUGAUUUUCUUGCUAAUUUGAGCUAGAUUGGUUUGAGUUUGCUUGCUUCUGGAAAAAAAUAUGAAAUUUGCUCUCAUUUGAUAUGAAUAUGAAUAUUUGAGUUAUUUAUAGACUUCUGAUCUGCUCAGUUCAGUAAAAUAUGCUUUUUUUAAACAAAAAAUUGUUUAUGAUGGUCUUUCCCCAGCUUUGACAAGUUGAGCUAUUUGUAGAAUUUGGAUUAGGUUUAUUUAUGGAAAUGAUUGAAAACUGUUGCUUGACAUGGACUGAAGUUUGUUUAUUUUGAAUAAUUUGAUCACGUGCAGAAUUUGGUUCCAAUUUUUGGUGAGAAAGAGUGAUGCGCUGAGCAAUGGCGCUUAGGAUGCCAGCUCCAAAGGCGGCUGAGAUUGCCAUUGGGUCCAUUGGAUGUGGGUAUGAUAUCGGAAUGGAUCUUAGGCUGAAGUACUGUAAAGGGGAUUCAAAAAAUUCAUGUCUUAUUGAGAUUGAUAAAGACGGAGGCCGUGAGAUUGUUUUGCCUGGUGGAAUUUCAAUACCUAACGUGUCCAAAUCAAUAAAGUGCGAUAAAGGGGAGCGCACACGAUUCAGGUCUGAUGUCCUCUCCUUCCAACAGGUAAUAGUUUAUUGUAUGUUCAAUGCUAUCUGAUCAAUAUAUUUGGCUUCUACGGUUUUUUUUCCUCACAAAGUAGUCUGUUCAAACUGAAAAACUACAUGCUACCUGCGAAGUAGCUGUCUAGGUGAUAUUAUUGAUGUCCAUAUAUGUACUGGUAUUUGGAUGGUUGUCGCAUGCGUCAAAUCCUGUGAAAGGUAUAUGACAAAUGCUAUUCAUGUUUGGGAUUUGAUUGUUUUUUUUUUUUUGUGUUUGUCUUGAGAGUGUGCUCUUUCUCAUUAUUUUCUUCUAUUUUCUCCAGAUGUCAGAGCAGUUCAACCAAGAAAUAUCUUUGACUGGAAAAAUACCUUCAGGCCUCUUCAAUUCCAUGUUUGAGUUCUCUGGUUGUUGGCAAAAAGAUGCUGCCAACACUAAGAUGCUUGCUUUUGAUGGAGUGUUCAUAACCCUCUACUCAGUUGCACUGGAGAAAUCUCAGAUGGUGCUACGAGAUCAUGUCAAGAAGGCAGUCCCAUCUACAUGGGAACCUGCAGCAUUGGCAAGGUGAAUUUCUGCAUAAAUUUGGUCUUUGUAUUCUGGUGAUGGAGUCCUUAAAUAACACCCUGGCAUCUAGGAGGCAUUUUCUUGCUUACUUAACAAAUUGUGCCUCAGCCCUUGCUCAUUUCUCUCUCCCUCUCUGUGAAUUCUGCCAUCACAUGGAGUCUAAUCCAAUGAUCAACUUUUUAAUAAUUUUCUUAUACUGGUUCAGCAUGUAUAUUCUUGAUGAAAAUAAGUAGAAUGCUGUAGUGUUGGUUGGUUAUAAAUCUUCUGAUGCCCACUGCCUGUUUUAUUUAAAGUUCAUUACUUUCUGCUGUAUAAUAUUUGACGUCUGUUAUAUGAUAUUGAUGACAUCGCAGGUUUAUUGACACUUAUGGCACCCAUAUUAUUGUUGGUGUGAAGAUGGGAGGGAAGGAUGUUAUUUACAUAAAACAGCAUCAUUCCUCAAAUCUUCAACCUGCUGAUAUCCAGAAAAGAUUGAAGGAUAUGGCUGAUAAGAGGUUUUUAGAUGCCAAUGGACAUUAUAGCAUGGCGUCUGAGCAAGAUUUCCAGAGUGACAAGGUUUGCAAUAGAACUGUCAAUGCUAUUCUUCAAAUCCAUAGUUGUAUAUCUUGAUAAAUCUCAUUUCUUGGAUGGAAUGAAAUCAAUAUUCCUAGUUCAAUAUUCUUUUACAAUGGGGUACAAUCUUCAUGAGAGACUUGGCAAGCAGGAUUUUAUUGCACAAGUUGAUGCAGGUUCUUUGAAGCAUAUUAGCUUCAAAUUUUGUUUUGAAAACUGUUCAAAAGGAGAGUUCUCACACUCUCUCUCUUAACUUACUGUUUAAUGAGCAUAGUCUUAUCUUGUAAGUCUUUCAAUUAGGUUGGCAAUUUUGUUUUUGGUAUAUUACUUUGACAGUCUAUGCUUUAAAUGUUUGCCUAGGUUAGUAGAGAUUAAUAAUCUGCAGAAUAAAGAAAUUGUGGCUCUUCAUCUGCAUAUUUCUGAUCUGCUGCCAUCUUUGACAGUGAAACUUAUAUGUUUAAAUUUGUUAUUGGGUUUAAUAUGUUCUGUCAAUCAUCCUUAUUAGUGAACCAUUAGCAUUAUUUGUGAUAUCUUCUGAGGUAUCUUAUCUAAUCAUUUCUGUUUCAGUUUGAAAUCAGGGAGCAGCGGCUAAGGUUUGCACAUAACAGUCCAUCAAGUUCAUAUGCACGUAAAGAGGUUUGUGUUCUGACUUUCGUAUGGUGUUUUUAGCUUACUAGUUAAGGUCCCUUGAUAAAGUGUUAAAUUCUUUUCCCAAUAUCAGUGUUGUUAUUAAUUACCUAAAAAUUGCAGGAUAUUAUAAGCAUUUACAAAAGGAGAGGUGGAAGUGAUAAUAGAAACCUAUCUCAUAAUGACUGGUUACAAACAGUUCAGUCAGAGCCUGAUGUGAUCUCAAUGUCCUUUAUCCCAAUUACUUCUCUAUUGAAUGGAGUCCCGGGUAGUGGAUUUCUGAGCCAUGCAAUAAAUCUGUAUUUGCGAUGUAAGCA